GACGAACGCUGGCGGCGUGCUUAACACAUGCCAGUCGAACGGAAAGGCCCCUUUGGGGGUACUCGAGUGGCGAACGGGUGAGUAACACGUGAGUAACCUGCCCUUGACUUCGGGAUAACUUCAGGAAACUGGGGCUAAUACCGGAUAGGAAUCCUUGCUGCAUGGUGGGGGUUGGAAAGCUUCGGCGGUUUUGGAUGGACUCGCGGCUUAUCAGCUUGUUGGUGGGGUAGUGGCUUACCAAGGCUUUGACGGGUAGCCGGCCUGAGAGGGCGACCGGCCACAUUGGGACUGGGAUACGGCCCAGACUCCUACGGGAGGCAGCAGUGGGGAAUAUUGCACAAUGGGCGGAAGCCUGAUGCAGCAACGCCGCGUGCGGGAUGACGGCCUUCGGGUUGUAAACCGCUUUCAGCAGGGGCGAAGCUUGCGGUGACGGUACCUGCAGAAGAAGCACCGGCUAACUACGUG
This 465-nucleotide ribosomal RNA is filed under the name uncultured bacterium. Its description in RNAcentral is "partial 16S ribosomal RNA". It matches the Rfam family "Bacterial small subunit ribosomal RNA", at positions 28 to 507 of the family's 1533-position model. The record is from RNAcentral.